Molecule: ribosomal RNA, 589 nt
Filed under: uncultured marine eukaryote
Lineage: Eukaryota
Description: SSU rRNA
Rfam family: Eukaryotic small subunit ribosomal RNA
Source: RNAcentral
UACCUGGUUGAUCCUGCCAGUAGUCAUAUGCUUGUCUCAAAGAUUAAGCCAUGCAUGUCUCAGUAUAAGCUUUACUACUGCGAAACUGCGAAUGGCUCAUUAAAACAGUUAUAGUUUCCUUGACGGCCACUUAUUACUUGGAUACCUAUGGUAAUUCUAGAGCUAAUACAUGCUUACAGACCCAACUUUUCGGGAGGGUUGUGCUUAUUAGAUACCGAACCAGCCCCACUUCGUGGGAUCUCAGUUGAUUCAUAGUAGUCCAGCGAAUCGCCCAUCGUAGGCGAUGAGUCUUUCAAGUUUCUGACCUAUCAGCUUCCGACGGUAGGGUAUUGGCCUACCGUGGCUGUGACGGGUAACGGAGAAUUAGGGUUCGAUUCCGGAGAGGGAGCCUGAGAAACGGCUACCACAUCUAAGGAAGGCAGCAGGCGCGUAAAUUACCCAAUCCUGACGCAGGGAGGUAGUGACAAGAAAUACCAAUAUAAGGCAACUUGUCUUGUAAUUGGGAUGAGUAUAAUUUAAACCGCGUUGCGAGUAUCAAUUGGAGGGCAAGUCUGGUGCCAGCAGCCGCGGUAAUUCCAGCUCCAAUAGC